GGCCUGGGACUCCGGGCUCGGAUUCGGCAGGGCCGCCACCCGCUGAGCUCCAGCGCGUAACCCGGAACCGACGCGGCGUCGCUUUUAGGUGUCCCCGAAGGGGAGGAGAGGACUCUCAAGCCUCGGUUAACAGCGAGGGCCUUUGCACUACCUCUAAGGCACUUUGGAUUUGUUGGAGGAAAGAAGAAGGAAUAAAGGAGAAGAAGACAGAAGUAGUUUGUGAAGCAGUCACAAAGUCAACGGUUGUAAACGAAACAGCAAGGGUCAGGAAUCAGGAGACCAGAGUUCUCUUUCCAGUAAUUUGCCAGCAUAAUUUGGACAGAUACCAUGAGGACAGCGAUCAUGACUACAGUAUCCUAAGGUCCAGCAGUGCCUUAAAUACAGGACUUUUAAAAUAAAUAUUUGUUGACAAAAUUAAAGAAGGGUUUGGAGAGGAGAGAAAGAAGAAAACACAAUAUGGAGUUCUGGAGAUCCAGUUAGUCCAGAAGAGUAGCCCUGGAUUUUCCUCAGCUCUGCGAGUGACUAGAUCCUACAAUGAAAUUUAUUUCUUGCACCUCCUGCGACGAAUUUGUUGGCAAGAACUGCAGAAAGAAUUUAGGUUCCUGUCACUCCAGAUAUCCUGAUUUUGCAUGCCAGACCAAAGAAGUAUAUUCUCAACAUUUCACCGGAGAAUAUAUCUACCGAUAUUCUAUCCUGGGCUGCCCAAGAAGAUGUGUGGAGUAUAUACACAUCACCAAGUGGGAGAAAAACGUGUUCUUCUGUUGUAAUACAAGCUACUGCAAUAGCUUAUCAGUAAAGGAUGAGGUUCCAUUCAAUUCCAUCGCAUCAGAGGAUUUAGCUUGAGAUAUUCAGCUAAUGUUCAGGGACUUCCUCUUGUCUGCAUUCUGCUCAUCAUUCUUUAAAAAAACAUCAAGACCCAGAAAUACUUUCACGCUCAACCACCACCCACAUUGCCUCCUGAGAGCCAAGAGGCCCAAGAGAAAUAAACUAUGGAUGAAAAAGAAAUGUAGUGCAACUUUGAAAUGCUGUCUGGGCCCAAGUUAGACAACCA
Long non-coding RNA from Mesoplodon densirostris (Blainville's beaked whale), 1051 nucleotides. RefSeq lists it as uncharacterized. The record is from RefSeq and is a predicted model, not a curated record. The transcript has 7 exons. Lineage: Eukaryota; Metazoa; Chordata; Mammalia; Artiodactyla; Ziphiidae.